Molecule: small nuclear RNA, 192 nt
Organism: Alosa alosa (allis shad)
Lineage: Eukaryota; Metazoa; Chordata; Actinopteri; Clupeiformes; Clupeidae
Product: U2 spliceosomal RNA
Exons: 1
Source: RefSeq, a predicted model, not a curated record
AUGGCUUAUGUGAAUAAUAAAAAAAAAAAAAAAAAAAAAUCUGUUCUUAUCAGUUUAAUAUCUGAUACCGCCCUCUACCGAGGACUAAUAUAUUAAUCUGAUUUUUGGAACAGGGGAGGCGGAAGAGGGCUUUGUUCCGUCCAUCCCACGAUCGACCAGGUGUGCAGUGACUCCAGGAACGGUUGCACAUCC